RNAcentral lists this ribosomal RNA (619 nucleotides) under uncultured archaeon. RNAcentral's name for it is "bacterial SSU rRNA". It matches the Rfam family "Archaeal small subunit ribosomal RNA", at positions 1 to 622 of the family's 1478-position model. The record is from RNAcentral.
GCCCUUUUCCGGUUGAUCCUGCCGGACCUGACUGCUAUCGGAUUGAUACUAAGCCAUGCGAGUUUUUGUAGUAAUACAAGGCAGACGGCUCAGUAACACGUAGUCAAUCUAACCUAUGGACGAGGAUAACCCCGGGAAACUGGGAAUAAUACUCGAUAGAUCAUUAUGCCUGGAACGGUUUAUGGUUCAAAUGAAUUUCGCCAUAGGGNGNGACUGCGGUCUAUCAGCUUGUUGGUGAGGUAAUGNCCCACCAAGGCUAUAACAGAUACGGGCUCUGAGAGGAGAAGCCCGGGGAUGGGUACUGAGACACGGACCCAGGCCCUAUGGGGCGCAGCAGGCGAGAAAACUUUGCAAUGUGCGAAAGCACGACAAGGUUAAUCCGAGUGAUUCCUGCUAAAGGAAUCUUUUGUUAGUCAUAACACCACUGAUGAAUAAGGGGUGGGCAAGUUCUGGUGUCAGCCGCCGCGGUAAAACCAGCACCUCAAGUGGUCAGGAGGAUUAUUGGGCCUAAAGCAUCCGUAGCCGGCUUUGUUAGUUUUCGGUCAAAUCUAUAUGCUCAACAUAUAGGCUGCCGGGAAUACUACAAAGCUAGGGAGUGGGAGAGGUAGACGGUACUCCG